Molecule: long non-coding RNA, 1164 nt
Filed under: Bos indicus x Bos taurus (hybrid cattle)
Lineage: Eukaryota; Metazoa; Chordata; Mammalia; Artiodactyla; Bovidae
Description: lncRNA (ENSBIXG00000028466.1)
Source: RNAcentral
UUAUAAGUGUAUUUUAUAUUCAUAAAGAUUUAAUUUCUUAAUAAACUCCACAGAGCUGAGUUGAUGAUAAUUAAUUUAAAACAAACCAAGGGAAUACCACUUUUCAAUAGUUUUAUAUUCUCAAUAAUUGAAGGUAACUUGUUAGCAAAUAAAAGACUAAUAAAUUGCUUUAAUUUAAAUAAAUGAUUUUCCAUUAUUUCCUAGCAUGAAGACCCGUGGAGUGGUUUCAUUUCACCCUGGACAAGAAAAGAAAGAACAGAAAUUGGGAUAAUGAAGCUCCAUCUUCUUAUCCGAUUUCAGAAGCUUGAAAGGGCAGCCUGGAGUCAGGAGGUCUAGACCGGGAUCUGCCGGUCAGCUACGCUGCUCUCGGCUAGACUCACUCACAUGUCUGUGGGUUGCCUGGGGGCUAGUUGAUCCAGGCUGGUGGACUGGAGCAGCUUGGCUGGAUGGCUCUGUUCCACGAGUGACUCGUCCUUGCUUGGCAGGCAAGCCAGGCAUGAACUUCUCGUAUCAGGCAGAAACACAAGAAGGCCAAUAGAAACACUCAGACCUUUUAAAACCUAAGCUGGAACUGGCACAAUUUAGAAAGAGGUAUGGAAACAGGGGGGUGGGUUUAAAGAAUUUGGAGCUAAUAAUGCAAUUUACCACAAAGACCAGGAACAUUUAAUGUAAUCAAUUUUCUCGUUUUUUUAUUUAAACACAAGGGCAGUAUUAUUUUGCAAAGUACCAGAUCUGGCUCCCUUUAUGUGAUAUUUCUUUAGAACUUCAUUUUCCUCUCUGUGUUCCAAACUCAAUUUACUUUGUCUUGAGCGGGUUAGGGAAAAGUCUUCAAUUCCAGGCUGUUUUUUCACUCCUUUGCAAAGAAUUUUAGUCAAAAUGCUUGCUGUUUUUUAAUUGAUAAGUUUAACUAAGGCCUUAUAAUUUCAGAAAUAUAAAAGUACAGUAAUUAUAUACACCUUGAAGACAAUAUCCAAAUAUUUCAGUCCAAAGGCAGCACAGUAAGCUUCACUAAUUAUGUCAUAAAAGUAAAACCAAAUGAAGCCGCAGUCUAGAAUUUAGGCCUAGACCCAUGAAAGGCAUUUCCCUAGUGCAUAGCUAUGUGAAAUUUGAAAAUAACUGGGGCUGAUUUCCGAGGAGAGGGGAUGAAGGAUUGCAUAUUCUAGU